AGAGUUUGAUCCUGGCUACAGAACGAACGCUGGCGGCAUGCUUUACACAUGCAAGUCGAACGGCAGCACGGGGGCAACCCUGGUGGCGAGUGGCGAACGGGUGAGUAAUACAUCGGAACGUGCCCAGUCGUGGGGGAUAACGUAGCGAAAGCUACGCUAAUACCGCAUACGAACUCUGGUUGAAAGCGGGGGAUCGCAAGACCUCGCGCGAUUGGAGCGGCCGAUGGCAGAUUAGGUAGUUGGUGGGGUAAAGGCUCACCAAGCCGACGAUCUGUAGCUGGUCUGAGAGGACGACCAGCCACACUGGGACUGAGACACGGCCCAGACUCCUACGGGAGGCAGCAGUGGGGAAUUUUGGACAAUGGGCGAAAGCCUGAUCCAGCCAUUCCGCGUGCAGGAUGAAGGCCCUCGGGUUGUAAACUGCUUUUGUACGGAACGAAACGGUCCUGGUUAAUACCUGGGGCUAAUGACGGUACCGUAAGAAUAAGCACCGGCUAACUACGUG
Molecule: ribosomal RNA, 505 nt
Filed under: uncultured bacterium
Lineage: Bacteria
Description: bacterial SSU rRNA
Rfam family: Bacterial small subunit ribosomal RNA
Source: RNAcentral